UCGGGAAUAUUGCGCAAUGGAGGAAACUCUGACGCAGUGACGCCGCGUGCAGGAAGAAGGUUUUCGGAUUGUAAACUGCUUUAGACAGGGAAGAAACAAGACAGUACCUGUAAAAUAAGCUCCGGCUAACUACGUGCCAGCAGCCGCGGUAAUACGUAGGGAGCAAGCGUUAUCCGGAUUUAUUGGGUGUAAAGGGUGCGUAGACGGGAAGGCAAGUUAGUUGUGAAAUCCCUCGGCUUAACUGAGGAACUGCAACUAAAACUAUCUUUCUUGAGUGCUGGAGAGGAAAGUGGAAUUCCUAGU
RNAcentral lists this ribosomal RNA (303 nucleotides) under uncultured bacterium. RNAcentral's name for it is "bacterial SSU rRNA". It matches the Rfam family "Bacterial small subunit ribosomal RNA", at positions 355 to 674 of the family's 1533-position model. The record is from RNAcentral.